AGGCCUCUUCUAAGGCCCAAAUGCUUAUCUUCUAAUCCCAAAAUCAACACAGAGCAGCUUCGUUACCAGCUUGACCAACUCCAUGCCGAAGCUGAGACCACCCGCGCUAAAGCUAGCAAUGCUAGAUUGAGGUUUUCGCGGCUAUCAGAGGCGGCCGAGAAGC
Molecule: long non-coding RNA, 163 nt
Organism: Hibiscus syriacus
Lineage: Eukaryota; Viridiplantae; Streptophyta; Magnoliopsida; Malvales; Malvaceae
Exons: 2
Source: RefSeq, a predicted model, not a curated record